CCUACGGGAGGCAGCAGUGGGGAAUAUUGCUCAAUGGGCGAAAGCCUGACGCAGCGACGCCGCGUGAGGGAUUAAGGUCUUCGGAUCGUAAACCCCUGUCAGCAGGGAAGAACGGGCACUGUGCUAAUCAGCAGUGAAUUGACGGCACCUGCAAAGGAAGCACCGGCUAACUCCGUGCCAGCAGCCGCGGUAAUACGGUGGGGGCGAUCGUUAAGCGGAAUUACUGGGCGUAAAGCGCUCGUAGGCGGUAUGUCAAGUCAAGGGGGAAAUCCCCGCGGCUAACGUGGGAACUGCCUUGGAAACUGGCGGACUGGAGUGUGUGAGAGGAAGGUGGAAUGCCUGGUGUAGGGGUGAAAUGCGUAGAUAUCUGGAGGAACAUCAGUGGCGAAGGCGGCUAUCUGGCACAUAACUGACGCUGAGGAGCGAAAGCGUGGGUAGCAAACAGGAUUAGAUACCCCUGUAGUC
Molecule: ribosomal RNA, 465 nt
Filed under: uncultured bacterium
Lineage: Bacteria
Description: partial 16S ribosomal RNA
Rfam family: Bacterial small subunit ribosomal RNA
Source: RNAcentral